Molecule: non-coding RNA, 695 nt
Organism: Salvia hispanica
Lineage: Eukaryota; Viridiplantae; Streptophyta; Magnoliopsida; Lamiales; Lamiaceae
Source: RefSeq, a predicted model, not a curated record
GAGAUUGAGAAACCCUGCAUUUCCUUCCCGCCACUCCCACCGAGAAGGAGCAUCUAUUCAUCAUAAAAUCACACAGGUUUUCGGAACCGCCGCCGGAAACGUGUUGCAGGUGAUCGAUGUAGAGAAGAAGACUCUCAACAACGUCAUCACGUUUCCUCUCGACGGAGUCUUCUUCGUUCGGUCCGAUAUUCAGUGCAGUUCUGUGGCAUAAGGGUUGGGAGUUUCCUCUACCUCCACUUGAUUAGGGUCGUAUGCUUCCAUCCAUGGUGUGAUAUCUUUAUUGAUUCCUUGAAAAGUAUAAACCUGUCAGGCAGUAGCUCUAUAAUUCUAGGUCUUAAAAACUUAAGACAGUUAUAGCGAUGGACAAGCAAGGUAGCACUUGAUCACAUUCCAUUCAAGGUGCUGCAGCUCCAACGUUUUCGCCGUCGACCGGUGAGGAAGAGGCCUACCAUUCAAACUGGCUCUGAAUAGGCCCGGCCUGACGGCCGCGGCCUCCACCAAUGUCGCCCUGCAUGUUGCUUGCUUCAUUUAGUUGGCUUCCUCUUCAUCAUGUAUGGCUGGGACUAGGGAUGUUGUAGCGCUACCGUUCGAGAUGCAUAGGCUUGGAUUCUAGGUCUUGACCCGGGCUCAGUGCUCGUCCACGUCCCCGAGAUCAUGCUUUGUAUUCAAAUUCAUAAAUUUUUUGCAUUUCAAAU